Molecule: long non-coding RNA, 1015 nt
Organism: Oncorhynchus mykiss (rainbow trout)
Lineage: Eukaryota; Metazoa; Chordata; Actinopteri; Salmoniformes; Salmonidae
Source: RefSeq, a predicted model, not a curated record
CACCUUAUUAGAUAUACAAUACCAGUCUGCCAACGCCAAAUAGGUUUCCACGACAGCACAAAGUACAUAUUAACCUGGCUACCAGUCUGUUUGUGCUGUCAUGCCAACGCCAAAUAGGUUUCCACGACAGCACAAAGUACAUAUUAACCUGGCUACCACUCUGUUUGUGCUGUCAUGCCAACGCCAAAUAGGUUUCCACGACAGCACAAAGUACAUAUUAACCUGGCUACCAGUCUGUUUGUGCCGUCAUGCCAACGCCAAAUAGGUUUCCACGACAGCACAAAGUACAUAUUAACCUGGCUACCAGUCUGUUUGUGCCGUCAUGCCAACGCCAAAUAGGUUUCCACGACAGCACAAAGUACAUAUUAACCUGGCUACCAGUCUGUUUGUGCCGUCAUACCAACGCCAAAUAGGUUUCCACGACAGCACAAAGUACAUAUUAACCUGGCUACCAGUCUGUUUGUGCUGUCAUGCCAACGCCAAAUAGGUUUCCACGACAGCACAAAGUACAUAUUAACCUGACUACCAGUCUGUUUGUGCCGUCAUGCCAACGCCAAAUAGGUUUCCACGACAGCACAAAGUACAUAUUAACCUGGCUACCAGUCUGUUUGUGCUGUCAUGCCAACGCCAAAUAGGUUUCCACGACAGCACAAAGUACAUAUUAACCUGGCUACCAGUCUGUUUGUGCCAUCAUGCCAACGCAAGGUUUCCACGACAGCACAAAACAGAUCUGGGACAAAGCAAACUACUUGCUUGACUCAUUUCCAAUAUCACUGUGUGAUCUUGUGAAAGCUAAUAUGCUCCAGAACUGUUUGGGUCCAAGCCGAACAUCUGAUUACUCUUUUACAAAUUACAUUCUCAAAAAAAUGCUUCCUCUAGUCACGGUAGGAUACAAGGUGAUCAAAAUCCCCUCUGGUUCGACAAGUCAACACCAUUGGAAUCACGCUGAGUGAUAAGGCAGAUGGGUCCCUUUCAACUGGAGAUUGAUUUCACAGCCAUCUAACGACCGUGCACA